CUACGACUCUCGACAAUGGAUAUCUCGGCUCUCGCUUCGAUGAAGAACGUAGCGAAAUGCGAUACCUUGUGUGAAUUGCAGAAUCCCGUGAAUCAUCGAAUCUUUGAACGCAAGUUGCGCCCGAGGCCUAGGCCGAGGGCACGUCUGCCUGGGUGUCGUGAAA
RNAcentral lists this ribosomal RNA (163 nucleotides) under Gnetum nodiflorum. Its description in RNAcentral is "5.8S ribosomal RNA". It matches the Rfam family "5.8S ribosomal RNA". Rfam says of the family: 5.8S ribosomal RNA (5.8S rRNA) is a component of the large subunit of the eukaryotic ribosome. It is transcribed by RNA polymerase I as part of the 45S precursor that also contains 18S and 28S rRNA. The record is from RNAcentral. Lineage: Eukaryota; Viridiplantae; Streptophyta; Gnetopsida; Gnetales; Gnetaceae.